This 253-nucleotide ribosomal RNA is filed under the name uncultured bacterium. Its description in RNAcentral is "partial 16S ribosomal RNA". It matches the Rfam family "Bacterial small subunit ribosomal RNA", at positions 524 to 776 of the family's 1533-position model. The record is from RNAcentral.
UACGGAGGGUGCAAGCGUUGUUCGGAAUCAUUGGGCGUAAAGCGCGUGUAGGCGGCUUGGCAAGUCGGUUGUGAAAGCCCGGGGCCCAACCCCGGAACUGCAUCUGAAACUGCCUGGCUAGAGUCCCGGAGAGGAAGGCAGAAUUCCCGGUGUAGGGGUGAAAUCCGUAGAUAUCGGGAGGAAUACCAGCGGCGAAGGCGGCCUUCUGGACGGUGACUGACGCUGAGACGCGAAAGCGUGGGGAGCAAACGGG